CCCCAAAUGUUACUACUUCUCACACUCAAGCAUUUAUUUUAUUAUUAAAAGAAAAAGUUUGUUUUAAAGCCAAUCUUUUGCUAAAGAAAACACUUUAACUUCUGUUUCUUAAAAAAAAACUUUAUUACUCCCACAACUCACCCCCCAGACGAAUGGCCUACCUUUAACCGCCUCAAAAUCCGACUAUGGCGAACGGAGUCGAGCCAUCAGCUGUCGUGAGCGUGAUGCAACUCCGGUAAGUCUCCUCCUUUCUCUUAUAUCUUAGUAUAUUUGAUGAAAAUAGAAAAAAAGAAAAACGAAAUCAAAUAGCAAUCACCACCUUUGAAUAUCUCUUGGUUGCUUUUUAUUGAUUUUUUUGAAUGUAUUUUGUAUACAACUUGUGUUCUAUCUCUUUGAGAAAAAUGAAAAAGAAAAGAAAAACCACCCCCUUACAAUUAAAAAAAUGGAAGGCUUUAUAGCCUAUAUAAACGGUUCCUUGCUAUUCUCCAUUUUGCAGGUACGUGGAGACGUAAAGACUGCGUUCAUGAGCGUGUCAACGUGAAAUAUGGAAGGUGGAAGCGUGGGCUGAAGUAAUGGCGCGCGUAGAGGCUGGCUCGAAGGCAGCAGCAGCGCAAGGGGGAAAGGGAAUGGGUUCUGAAAACUCCAAAAACCUGGGCCUACUGGCUUCGGUUCAUUUCAUUUAGUAUUAGGCCAUUGUAAAACUUUUUGGGCCUGUUUAAUUUGGGUUUAAUGCAAGGCCGGGCAAAAUAUGGGUUUUACAAUCAAUUUUUUUUUAAAUUAAAUUAUUAUUUCUAAUAAAAAUGCUGCCUAAAAUGUUAAAUCUUACGUAUGACAGUUUAUAUGUAUUUCAUGCUAAUAUGUUACUAUUUAUCUUAUAUGUUACGUCAAUAAAUAAUUAAAAAAUAUAAAAGAACACCAUGAAAUACAAGUAGAUUGUCACACAAUCAAUCACAUUUAAAAUUUUAAUAUUUUAGACAGUAUUUUUGUGAAAAAAAAUCAUUUCAAUUUUUUCAAAAGAUUGACAUUCAAAUUUGAUUAUUUUUAAAAGGUUGGGGUCAAAUUUAACUAAAUAAUAAUAAUUAGGACUGAGUUGACUAAAAUACAAGUAUUAAAGGACUAAAUUUGACAUUGUGACUUAUGAAAAUAAAAUUUAAUAUUUUAAAACUAAAUUUAUACAAUAUAUAAUAUUAUAAUUGAAUGCUAAAAAAUAUUAUACAGUUUUAUACCCAAAUAAAGUCAGG
RNAcentral lists this long non-coding RNA (1241 nucleotides) under Gossypium barbadense (sea-island cotton). Its description in RNAcentral is "long non-coding RNA (GBAR_LNC005730)". Lineage: Eukaryota; Viridiplantae; Streptophyta; Magnoliopsida; Malvales; Malvaceae. The record is from RNAcentral.